RNAcentral lists this long non-coding RNA (1456 nucleotides) under Cricetulus griseus (Chinese hamster). RNAcentral describes it as "lncRNA (ENSCGRG00015037184.1)". Lineage: Eukaryota; Metazoa; Chordata; Mammalia; Rodentia; Cricetidae. The record is from RNAcentral.
GAGUCACCAGGAGAGUGCCUGAGAGCCAAAGGUUGGAUGGAGAUCUAAGAUUCAGGAGAAAGACCACUGACCCAAGAAGACCACUGACCCAACUCAUGGCCAAAUGAAUCAGACUGUUUCUCUGUGAUCGAAAUGAACAACCAAAACUCAGAAUUUCUCUUGUUCUUAUGUUCUUCAUUCAUGCACCAUGAAGAAGAAAUUUCUCAGUGAGGAGAGAGUAGCAGUUACUGUGUAAGUGGGAGACCAUGGCUUGCUGCAUCUCUGGAGUAAACUCUCAGAAAUGUUGGGUGCUGCUUUGACGUACACAAAGAAUGGGAAAGGAAAGCAGCCCUCUGUGAGGAACGUGGAUGGAUAGUUUGGCAGAUGCUUCAACUGCUGUGUGGCAAGGCCAAGAGGAAGGAAAAUAUAUUCCAUUUUGGAGAUGACAUUUUCAAGUUUCACAUUCUAAUUAUUAGACACUUUCUCACAGUGUUUGCACUGUUUCAUUUUUAGAUGAAAAAUGAUUUAACACCCCAGUGUUAGAACUCUUCAUGAUGACAUAUUAUGUUCAGCUUGGGUCAUUCAAGUUCAAAGGUCCAGAGGACUGGGAAGACUGCUGCAAAGUGGUGUCUUCUGGACACAAGGAUGUUGCACCAAUAAACUCACAGCAGCUGUGGAAGACUGAAUAUUGAGGAGGAGGUACAGGUGGUCCACAGCUACUGGAGAAGGAAGAGUGGGUUUUCUUCAGGGAUGGGGACACUGGUAGGUUGCCGAUGCUCCAGUGGUUAUUCAAAGUACAAGAAGAGCACAUGAAUUUGAGAGCGAGAUGUUUGUGUGAGGAACUGAGGAGUUGUUGGGAAUAGGGUUGGUUAUGAUGAAAUGAGUUGUAUUUGGGUGAAGAUAAUAGCUACUUCCUGUGGGAGGAAAUGUGGAAGAACACUAGGCCAUUUUGCCAAUUCUUUUCCUGAAUUCAUAUGCCUUUCAUGAAAUCAAAGAUUAUUUUGAAAAAGAAGACAUAAUAAAAGCAUAGACAUAAUAAAACAAUGUAAUAUAUAAAAUGAAAUAGAGUAGUUGAUUUUCCUUUUUCUCUAGCAUUUGGUGUUUUUUUAACAGUAAGUGAACUGAGACCAACAGAGCAUUUCUCACCAUGACUGGGCUCCCUGGCAGAUGUUAGAGGGGUACUGGGUGGUGGCUGCAUGCUGUUCUUGUUAUCUGAAUGCUGAAGCCCUCCCCAGUCCUGACCAUCCUUCUUGCUCUUGGGGAAUGCUAGCCAUGAAUCUGCACUUAGAUGAAGGCCUUCACCUACUGAGACAACAAGCUGACAUAGUUUUGCAAGGUGUGUGUGUGUGUGUGUGUGUGUGUGUGUGUGUGUGUGUGUGUGUAAGUUUAUGAGGUCAGAAAUGCCAGGGUGUGUUAGUGUACUGACUGUAAUUGUUAGAUUUGAAAAAUGGGGUGAACCAAGUAAAAGAACAAAGAC